GGUGGCGUGUCCGAGCGGCCUAAGGAGCGCGCCUCGAAAGCGCGUGUGGGGGCGACUCCACCCAGGGUUCGAAUCCCUGCGCCACCGCCA
This 90-nucleotide transfer RNA is filed under the name Nostocoides australiense. Its description in RNAcentral is "tRNA-Ser". It matches the Rfam family "tRNA". Rfam says of the family: Transfer RNA (tRNA) molecules are approximately 80 nucleotides in length. Their secondary structure includes four short double-helical elements and three loops (D, anti-codon, and T loops). The record is from RNAcentral. Lineage: Bacteria; Bacillati; Actinomycetota; Actinomycetes; Micrococcales; Intrasporangiaceae. RNAcentral also lists the same sequence under 3 other names.